GCCCACGUGGUGGAAUUGGUAGACACACCAUCUUGAGGGGGUGGCGGCGAAAGUCGUGGGAGUUCGAGUCUCCCCGUGGGCACCA
Molecule: transfer RNA, 85 nt
Filed under: Pseudomonadota bacterium
Lineage: Bacteria; Pseudomonadati; Pseudomonadota
Also listed under: 1 other name
Description: tRNA-Leu
Rfam family: tRNA
About the family: Transfer RNA (tRNA) molecules are approximately 80 nucleotides in length. Their secondary structure includes four short double-helical elements and three loops (D, anti-codon, and T loops). Further hydrogen bonds mediate the characteristic L-shaped molecular structure. tRNAs have two regions of fundamental functional importance: the anti-codon, which is responsible for specific mRNA codon recognition, and the 3' end, to which the tRNAs corresponding amino acid is attached (by aminoacyl-tRNA synthetases). tRNAs cope with the degeneracy of the genetic code in two manners: having more than one tRNA (with a specific anti-codon) for a particular amino acid; and 'wobble' base-pairing, i.e. permitting non-standard base-pairing at the 3rd anti-codon position.
Source: RNAcentral